Molecule: transfer RNA, 74 nt
Filed under: Dipodomys ordii (Ord's kangaroo rat)
Lineage: Eukaryota; Metazoa; Chordata; Mammalia; Rodentia; Heteromyidae
Rfam family: tRNA
About the family: Transfer RNA (tRNA) molecules are approximately 80 nucleotides in length.
Source: Rfam by way of RNAcentral
GGCAGUGUGGCUAAGGUUAGGAGAGUGCUUGCCUAGCAAGUGUGAAAACCUGGGUUCAAACCCUAGCACUGCAG